This 674-nucleotide ribosomal RNA is filed under the name uncultured organism. RNAcentral describes it as "bacterial SSU rRNA". It matches the Rfam family "Bacterial small subunit ribosomal RNA", at positions 229 to 900 of the family's 1533-position model. The record is from RNAcentral.
CUGUGCGUCUGAUCCGCUAGUUGGUACGGUAGUGGCGUACCAAGGCGACGAUCAGUCGGGGGCGUGAGAGCGUAAUCCCCCACACGGGUACUGAGACGCGGACCCGACUCCUACGGGACGCAUCAGUACGGACUAUUGUACAAUGCCCGGAAGGGUGAUCCAGCCAUUCCGCGUCGAGGAAGACGGGCUUGUCGGUUGUAAAGCUCCUUCCAGAUGGGAAGAAAUCCUGGAUAUAUAUCUGGGCUGACGGUACCAUCAGAUUAUGCCCCGGCUAACUCCGUGCCAGCAGCCGCGGUAAUACCGAGGGUGCAAGCGUUAUCCGGAAUCACUGGGUUUAGCGGGUCCGUAAGCGGUUCGAUAAGUCCGAGGUGACAUGCUACAGCUUAACUGUAGAAUUGCCUUUGAUACUGUCUAACUUGAAUCGAGAUGAGGUAGGCGUAAUGUGACAAGUAGCGGUGAACUGCAUAGAUAUCUCACAGAAGGCCGAUUGCGAAGGCAGCUUACUAGGCUUAGAUUGACGCUGAGGCACAACAGCGUGGGGAGCGAACAGGAUUAGAUACCCUGGUAGUCCACGCUGUAAACGAUGCUAACUCGUCGUGUGGAUCGUAGAUUUGCCGCGGCCAAGGGCAACCGAUAAGUUAGCCACAUGGGGAAUACGUUAGCAAGAAUGAAAC